GCCUACCACAGCAGCCCCCGCUGCUAGUCUCCUAGUGAGGCGACACGCUCAAUUUGCGGAGAGGUCCUCUUCGGAGGAAAAUCCGCAGCCCACCUCCCCUACCCGGAGGUCGGUUCAGAGGCUCAAUGAGUGUGGGUUCAGCGCAGCUGAGCUUAAGAUAGAGUCCGUCUUGGCUGGCAACAGCGAAGAUUCAACGGAACCUGCGGAAGGAUCAUUAAAGAAUACAUGGCCUUCGGGUCCUAUUCUCACCCUUUGUUUACCAAAACUCUUGUUGCCUUGGCGCAUUCGUGCGCCAAAGGAAUCAAACCCUUGAAUCUCUGCUGUCUGAGUACUAUAUAAUAGUUAAAACUUUCAACAACGGAUCUCUUGGUUCUGGCAUCGAUGAAGAACGCAGCGAAAUGCGAUAAGUAAUGUGAAUUGCAGAAUUCAGUGAAUCAUCGAAUCUUUGAACGCACAUUGCGCCUCCUGGUAUUCCGGGAGGCAUGCCUGUUCGAGCGUCAUUACAACCCUCAAGCUCUGCUUGGUAUUGGGCUCGCCUCCUUUGGCCUGCCUCAAAAUCAGUGGCGGCACAGUCCGAUCCUCAAGCGCAGUAAUACACGACGCUUGCUGGUGAAGGUUGCUGCUCCAGAAACCCCCCACAAACUAAAGGUUGACCUCGGAUCAGGUAGGGAUACCCGCUGAACUUAAGCAUAUCAAUAAGCGGAGGAA
RNAcentral lists this ribosomal RNA (708 nucleotides) under fungal sp. PIMO_58.1. RNAcentral describes it as "eukaryotic LSU rRNA". The stretch from base 347 to 500 matches the Rfam family "5.8S ribosomal RNA". The record is from RNAcentral. Lineage: Eukaryota; Fungi.